RNAcentral lists this ribosomal RNA (646 nucleotides) under uncultured bacterium. RNAcentral describes it as "bacterial SSU rRNA". It matches the Rfam family "Bacterial small subunit ribosomal RNA", at positions 50 to 669 of the family's 1533-position model. The record is from RNAcentral.
CGAGCGAGCUUGCCUAGAUGAUUUUAGUGCUUGCACUAAAUGAAACUAGAUACAAGCGAGCGGCGGACGGGUGAGUAACACGUGGGUAACCUGCCCAAGAGACUGGGAUAACACCUGGAAACAGAUGCUAAUACCGGAUAACAACACUAGACGCAUGUCUAGAGUUUGAAAGAUGGUUCUGCUAUCACUCUUGGAUGGACCUGCGGUGCAUUAGCUAGUUGGUAAGGUAACGGCUUACCAAGGCAAUGAUGCAUAGCCGAGUUGAGAGACUGAUCGGCCACAUUGGGACUGAGACACGGCCCAAACUCCUACGGGAGGCAGCAGUGGGGAAUAUUGCACAAUGGGGGAAACCCUGAUGCAGCGACGCCGCGUGAGUGAAGAAGGGUUUCGGCUCGUAAAGCUCUGUUGGUAGUGAAGAAAGAUAGAGGUAGUAACUGGCCUUUAUUUGACGGUAAUUACUUAGAAAGUCACGGCUAACUACGUGCCAGCAGCCGCGGUAAUACGUAGGUGGCAAGCGUUGUCCGGAUUUAUUGGGCGUAAAGCGAGUGCAGGCGGUUCAAUAAGUCUGAUGUGAAAGCCUUCGGCUCAACCGGAGAAUUGCAUCAGAAACUGUUGAACUUGAGUGCAGAAGAAGAGAGUGGAACUC